AUUGAACGCUGGCGGCAUGCCUUACACAUGCAAGUCGAACGGCAGCACGGGAGCAAUCCUGGUGGCGAGUGGCGAACGGGUGAGUAAAGUAUCGGAACGUGCCCAGUCGUGGGGGAUAACGUAGCGAAAGUUACGCUAAUACCGCAUACGAUCUAUGGAUGAAAGCGGGGGAUCGUAAGACCUCGCGCGAUUGGAGCGGCCGAUAUCAGAUUAGGUAGUUGGUGGGGUAAAGGCUCACCAAGCCGACGAUCUGUAGCUGGUCUGAGAGGACGAGCAGCCACACUGGGACUGAGACACGGCCCAGACUCCUACGGGAGGCAGCAGUGGGGAAUUUUGGACAAUGGGCGAAAGCCUGAUCCAGCCAUGCCGCGUGCAGGAUGAAGGCCUUCGGGUUGUAAACUGCUUUUGUACGGAACGAAAAGGUUUGGCCUAAUAAGCUGAGCUCAUGACGGUACCGUAAGAAUAAGCACCGGCUAACUACGUGCCAGCCGCCGCCGUAA
RNAcentral lists this ribosomal RNA (500 nucleotides) under uncultured bacterium. RNAcentral's name for it is "partial 16S ribosomal RNA". It matches the Rfam family "Bacterial small subunit ribosomal RNA", at positions 30 to 523 of the family's 1533-position model. The record is from RNAcentral.